GACGAACGCUGGCGGCGUGCUUAACACAUGCAAGUCGAACGGAAAGGCCCUGCUUUUGUGGGGUGCUCGAGUGGCGAACGGGUGAGUAACACGUGAGUAACCUGCCCUUGACUUUGGGAUAACUUCAGGAAACUGGGGCUAAUACCGGAUAGGAGCUCCUGCUGCAUGGUGGGGGUUGGAAAGUUUCGGCGGUUGGGGAUGGACUCGCGGCUUAUCAGCUUGUUGGUGGGGUAGUGGCUUACCAAGGCCUUGACGGGUAGCCGGCCUGCGAGGGUGACAGGCCACAUUGGGACUGAGAUACGGCCCAGACUCCUACGGGAGGCAGCAGUGGGGAAUAGUGCACAAUGGGCGGAAGCCUGAUGCAGCAACGCCGCGUGCGGGAUGACGGCCUUCGGGUUGUAAACCGCUUUCGCCUGUGACGAAGCGUGAGUGACGGUAAUGGGUAAAGAAGCACCGGCUAACUACGUG
This 468-nucleotide ribosomal RNA is filed under the name uncultured bacterium. RNAcentral describes it as "partial 16S ribosomal RNA". It matches the Rfam family "Bacterial small subunit ribosomal RNA", at positions 28 to 507 of the family's 1533-position model. The record is from RNAcentral.